CACAGCGUUGUCCAGGAAGAGUUAAAGGAUGAGGAGACCCAGAGUGAUGCCCAAAGGUUGGACUUCUGUAUCAACAUCCAGCCUCCGAGUGAGUUUCUGGAAUUACCAUCUUCCCCAAUUAUAACGAUCCCUAUCUCCAUUCUUCAUUCCCGAGUCCCCAGGGGCAGCAGAGUACAUCGAGGUUUAAGCCCUGCUCCCCAGGAAGCUGAGCCCGGGAUGCCCACUCUGCAGCCCUCACACCCACCACAUCCCUGCUCUGACAUUCACCCAGGGACUCAUAGGCCUCACUGUUCCAAACUCCACAACCUGCAGGCCCUGGGGCACCUUGUUGCUCCUGACUCCCACCAGAACUUGGCUUUCAGGAAAGCUGGGCAAUGUCUGGAAAGUCAAUUAGGAAGAACUGGGGACAGGCCAAGGACUCAGACUCAGUGACAACCACAGUGAAAAUGAACAGGGAGGCUGGGCCCAGCUCUGCCUACAGAAGAAGGGAUGCCCUGCACGUCGAGACAACCCUGCGCUUAUCCUGAUGUGCUCCCAUCCCCUCCCUGGCAUCCAGCUCCUGCAUCCUCCCUAAACCAUGCUGUAAGGCUGACAACCCCAGAUCAACAAAAGGCACACAAGCAGGGACAGGCAGACAUUUGGCCCCUACACCUGCGCACAGGGCGUCCCCAGCGCCUGCGGCACGGGUAACAGCACUAAUUACAGAAUCAACGAGACUUCCUUAUCAUCAUCCAACACCUGUGUUCAGUUUUCUCUGUCUCUAAAAUGUCCUCCAACAGUUGGUCUGUUUGAAGGGAGAUUCAACACAAGGCCCACACACUGCUUUUGGCUGACUAUGGCACCUAAGCUAUUAGCCGCCCCAGCCCCCAUUUAGUUUUUGAAUAAACUGCCCAACCUCUCUGAACCCCUCUGGAGGGAAUGUGACCUGCGUAAGUCCAGGUGUCUACAGUUAGCCGCUCCUUCUGGCCCAGUGCAUGCACUUGAUUCGGGUAGCCUGGGCCCAGCCCCAGCAAGGACUGCCCAGCUGCCCUGAAGCUAACUCUUGGCUGGGGCAGAGGCAGGCAGGCUCCCAGCCCUUGGCCUCUGUGAGGCCACAGCAGCCCUGGGGGCAGGGCGGGGAGUAAGUGGGAGCAGAUCCAGGGUAGUUCACAAAAGCACCAUCUCUUUAGAUGGCACAGAAGCAGGGUGGCCAUGGGCUAGGGGCUUGAGCCCUGCAGCCCAGCCCCCCUCUUGAGCUUAGCCUGGCUGGCACACCUGGCUUCCUCCGGUGACUCACCUACCACCUGCUCAGCACAUCAGCCGGUUAUGGGCUGAGACAGCCCACAAGAGCAGCUGGGCUGGG
This 1342-nucleotide long non-coding RNA is filed under the name Homo sapiens (human). Its description in RNAcentral is "HSALNT0036025". Lineage: Eukaryota; Metazoa; Chordata; Mammalia; Primates; Hominidae. The record is from RNAcentral.